This 253-nucleotide ribosomal RNA is filed under the name uncultured bacterium. RNAcentral's name for it is "partial 16S ribosomal RNA". It matches the Rfam family "Bacterial small subunit ribosomal RNA", at positions 524 to 776 of the family's 1533-position model. The record is from RNAcentral.
UACGAAGGGGGCUAGCGUUGUUCGGAAUUACUGGGCGUAAAGCGCGCGCAGGCGGUCUUCCAAGUCAGUGGUGAAAGCCCGGAGCUCAACUCCGGAACUGCCAUUGAAACUGUGAGACUUGAGGAUGAGAGAGGUGAGUGGAAUUCCCAGUGUAGAGGUGAAAUUCGUAGAUAUUGGGAAGAACACCGGUGGCGAAGGCGGCUCACUGGCUCAUUUCUGACGCUCAGGCGCGACAGCGUGGGGAUCAAAUAGG